UACAGAGGGUGCGAGCGUUAAUCGGAAUUGCUGGGCGUAAAGCGUGCGUAGACGGUUAUUUAAGUCGGAUGUGAAAGCCCCGGGCUCAACCUGGGAAUUGCAUUCGAGACUGAAUAGCUAGGGUACGGUAGAGGGGAGUGGAAUUUCCGGUGUAGCGGUGAAAUGCGUAGAUAUCGGAAGGAACAUCAGUGGCGAAAGCGACUUCCUGGACCAGUACCGACGUUCAGGCACGAAAGCGUGGGGAGCAAACAGG
Molecule: ribosomal RNA, 253 nt
Filed under: uncultured bacterium
Lineage: Bacteria
Description: partial 16S ribosomal RNA
Rfam family: Bacterial small subunit ribosomal RNA
Source: RNAcentral